This 84-nucleotide transfer RNA is filed under the name Thermoleophilia bacterium. Its description in RNAcentral is "tRNA-Leu". It matches the Rfam family "tRNA". From Rfam's summary of the family: Transfer RNA (tRNA) molecules are approximately 80 nucleotides in length. Lineage: Bacteria; Bacillati; Actinomycetota; Thermoleophilia. The record is from RNAcentral.
GCGGCGGUGGCGGAACCGGUAGACGCGAUGGCCUCAAAAGCCAUUGUCCUUCGGGACGUGUGGGUUCGAGUCCCACCCGCCGCA